RNAcentral lists this ribosomal RNA (481 nucleotides) under uncultured bacterium. Its description in RNAcentral is "SSU rRNA". It matches the Rfam family "Bacterial small subunit ribosomal RNA", at positions 26 to 518 of the family's 1533-position model. The record is from RNAcentral.
AGGACGAACGCUGGCGGCGUGCUUAACACAUGCAAGUCGAGCGAGGCCCUUCCUUCGGGAAGGUGCCCUAGCGGCGAACGGGUGAGUAACACGUGGGCAACCUGCCCCUAGCACUGGGAUAACUCCGGGAAACCGGGGCUAAUACCGGAUAUGACCUCUGAGGGCAUCCUCUAAGGUGUAAAGGAUUCUGGCUAGGGAUGGGCCCGCGGCCUAUCAGCUUGUUGGUGGGGUAAUGGCCUACCAAGGCGACGACGGGUAGCCGGCCUGAGAGGGGCGACCGGGCCACGACUGGGACUGAGACACGGCCCAGACUCCUACGGGAGGCAGCAGUGGGGAAUAUUGCACAAUGGGCGAAAGCCUGAUGCAGCGACGCCGCGUGAGGGAUGACGGCCUUCGGGUUGUAAACCUCUUUCAGCAGGGACGAAGCGAAAGUGACGGUACCUGCAGAAGAAGCACCGGCCAACUACGUGCCAGCAGCCGC